GAUGAACGCUAGCGGCAGGCUUAACACAUGCAAGUCGAGGGGUAUAGUUCUUCGGAACUAGAGACCGGCGCACGGGUGCGUAACGCGUAUGCAAUCUACCUUUCACAGAGGGAUAGCCCAGAGAAAUUUGGAUUAAUACCUCAUAGUAUACAGACUCGGCAUCGAGAUUGUAUUAAAGUCACAACGGUGAAAGAUGAGCAUGCGUCCCAUUAGCUUGUUGGUAAGGUAACGGCUUACCAAGGCUACGAUGGGUAGGGGUCCUGAGAGGGAGAUCCCCCANACUGGUACUGAGACACGGACCAGACUCCUACGGGAGCAGCAGUGAGGAAUAUUGGACAAUGGGCGCAAGCCUGAUCCAGCCAUGCCGCGUGAGUGACGAAGGUCUUCGGAUU
RNAcentral lists this ribosomal RNA (392 nucleotides) under uncultured bacterium. RNAcentral's name for it is "bacterial SSU rRNA". It matches the Rfam family "Bacterial small subunit ribosomal RNA", at positions 28 to 424 of the family's 1533-position model. The record is from RNAcentral.